AAUGGACGAAAGUCUGACGCAGCGACGCCGCGUGAGGGAUGAAGGUUCUCGGAUUGUAAACCUCUGUUGAGUGGGAAGAAAACGUUUGCGGGUAAUAUCCGCAAGCCUUGACGGUACCACUCGAGGAAGCCCCGGCUAACUACGUGCCAGCAGCCGCGGUAAUACGUAGGGGGCAAGCGUUGUUCGGAAUUACUGGGCGUAAAGGGAGCGUAGGCGGGAGAGUAAGUUAGAAGUUAAAUGCUCAGGCUUAACUUGAGACCUGCUUUUAAGACUGCUUUUCUUGAGUAUGGGAGAGGGUGAUGGAAUUCCAGGUGUAGCGGUGGAAUGCGUAGAUAUCUGGAAGAACACCAGCUGCGAAGGCGGUCACCUGGCCCAAUACUGACGCUGAGGCUCGAAAGCUAGGGGAGCAAA
Molecule: ribosomal RNA, 411 nt
Filed under: uncultured bacterium
Lineage: Bacteria
Description: bacterial SSU rRNA
Rfam family: Bacterial small subunit ribosomal RNA
Source: RNAcentral